This 464-nucleotide ribosomal RNA is filed under the name uncultured bacterium. Its description in RNAcentral is "partial 16S ribosomal RNA". It matches the Rfam family "Bacterial small subunit ribosomal RNA", at positions 28 to 506 of the family's 1533-position model. The record is from RNAcentral.
GACGAACGCUGGCGGCGUGCUUAACACAUGCAAGUCGUACGGUAAGGCCCUUUCGGGGGUACACGAGUGGCGAACGGGUGAGUAACACGUGAGUAACCUGCCCACAACUUUGGGAUAACGCUAGGAAACUGGUGCUAAUACUGGAUAUGUGCUCCUGCUGCAUGGUGGGGGUUGGAAAGCUCCGGCGGUUGUGGAUGGACUCGCGGCCUAUCAGCUUGUUGGUGGGGUAGUGGCCUACCAAGGCGGCGACGGGUAGCCGGCCUGAGAGGGUGACCGGCCACGUUGGGACUGAGAUACGGCCCAGACUCCUACGGGAGGCAGCAGUGGGGAAUAUUGCACAAUGGGCGCAAGCCUGAUGCAGCAACGCCGCGUGCGGGAUGACGGCCUUCGGGUUGUAAACCGCUUUCAGCAGGGACGAAGCUUUUUGUGACGGUACCUGCAGAAGAAGCACCGGCUAACUACGU